Chenopodium quinoa (quinoa) is the source of this 1073-nucleotide long non-coding RNA. RefSeq lists it as uncharacterized. NCBI's taxonomy places the organism in Eukaryota, Viridiplantae, Streptophyta, Magnoliopsida, Caryophyllales, Amaranthaceae. The record is from RefSeq and is a predicted model, not a curated record. The transcript has 2 exons.
GAUGCAACUUUGUUAUUCUUUCUUUUGUAUUAAAUUUUUUUUUUUAUAAUUAUUGAAAUUACAAUGGUACCAUAACUAAAUGUCUUUAAAAUUUAAUUAGACAACUAAACUAAAGAUAUUAACAAACAUAAUCUAACUAGCUUAUUUUAAGUACUCCCACUAAAAUUAAUUCAUUUCCCCACCUAACUCAUUAAAAUGACCCAAAUUAAAACUAAAAGAAAAACAGAAAAAUCGAGCCCUAAUUUCUUUCUACGAUUAAAACCCUAGAUCUAGUUCAUCUUCAUCACUUAUCUUGCUCAUCUCCACCUUCAUCUUCUCUCUCCACCUCCACUUUCUCUCUCCUUCCAUUGUAGGAUGGAAAUAUCAUAACCUUCAUCUUCUCUCUCCACUUCCUUAUUGACCAAAAAUGGCGGAUCUCACCCCACUUGAUAAAGCUUGUUUACUAAGUGACGAUUUGGGCGAAAUUCGGCAACUCAACAAGUUAAUUGAGUUGAUUGAGAGCGGGUCAUCAGCUUCAACUAUUCGCUGUCGCUUUAAUUGUGAGGAAAUUGGUAAUGUUUUGAGUUGUAAUUCCAUAAAAGCUUGAGGGAAAGUUCUAAGAUCUGUUGAGGAAGAUGAGGAGGCAAAUAAAAAAAAAUUGCUCCAGAAUAUGGUCAUGGAACACCGGUUUUGAAAGAUCUAAAAGUGUGUGGGGGUUCUUCUUCCACAAAAAAGCAUGUCCUGUUAACACUGCUUAGACUACGCCGUGGUCCUCCCAAUAAGAUCACAGAUCUGAUUGAAGAGGAGGAAAGUAAGGCUACCCUAUUGGGGAAUAAACGCAAGAGAUCUGGACAAGAAGAUGAUGAGGGAAAUUCACCGAAAAUGUCAUCCCCCUGUCCUCAGCGUUGUUGAUGAAGAAAGAGGUUGGAAGAAGUGCACAAGAUCGACUAUUAAGCUCAGAUGCUGAUGUUAACGAAGAUACUCUUUUUUUUUUUGGAGGACUCACUUAAUUUAUGGUGUAUUAAUUAGGACAUUAUGUUUGGAACCUUGUUAUUAUUGAAAAUUUAUGAUGAAGUUGCUGGUAGUUGAUUGAA